This 420-nucleotide ribosomal RNA is filed under the name Flavobacteriaceae bacterium. RNAcentral describes it as "bacterial SSU rRNA". It matches the Rfam family "Bacterial small subunit ribosomal RNA", at positions 1 to 415 of the family's 1533-position model. Lineage: Bacteria; Pseudomonadati; Bacteroidota; Flavobacteriia; Flavobacteriales; Flavobacteriaceae. The record is from RNAcentral.
AACAAUGAAGAGUUUGAUCCUGGCUCAGGAUGAACGCUAGCGGCAGGCCUAACACAUGCAAGUCGAACGGUAACAGGAAUUAGCUUGCUAAUUUGCUGACGAGUGGCGCACGGGUGCGUAACGCGUAUACAAUCUACCUUUUGCUAAGGGAUAGCCCAGAGAAAUUUGGAUUAAUACCUUAUAGUAUUAUUUUAUGGCAUCAUUUAAUAAUUAAAGGCUACGGCAAAAGAUGAGUAUGCGUCCCAUUAGCUAGUUGGCGAGGUAACGGCUCACCAAGGCGACGAUGGGUAGGGGUCCUGAGAGGGAGAUCCCCCACACUGGUACUGAGACACGGACCAGACUCCUACGGGAGGCAGCAGUGAGGAAUAUUGGUCAAUGGAGGCAACUCUGAACCAGCCAUGCCGCGUGCAGGAAGACUGC